RNAcentral lists this long non-coding RNA (207 nucleotides) under Elaeis guineensis (African oil palm). RNAcentral describes it as "long non-coding RNA (EGUI_LNC068979)". The record is from RNAcentral. Lineage: Eukaryota; Viridiplantae; Streptophyta; Magnoliopsida; Arecales; Arecaceae.
GGUGAAUGCAUCAUAUGCAACAACCUUAAGUCUUGGCAAUGUACAUCCAAUGUAUCAUUCCAAGGCUUCGUGCAUCACAUGCACUAGAUUUAUAAUUCUAUAGAAAAUCAGAUCAUAGGAUCUAACCUAAACUUGUCUUACAAGUCUAAAGAUCACAAAAUCUCAUAUCCAAGUAUGAUCAUGGACUAAUAACAUUUAUCCUAAACA